ACAGAAAUCAUUUGCAGAAACUUCCCAAGAGCAAGUCUAAGAAAUUUGGGUCAUUCAUGCAUUAUAAUUAUUCACAUAUGCAUUAUAUAUGACACACUUUUAACUAUUGGACUACCUACAUAAGAUGCCUCUUUUUCACUUGAUCCAAAAAGUUCAUUUGUUCAAUUUGUCUUAUUAAUUAUGAUGAUGGUUCAUAACUUUUUUUUUUUAUGUAUAUAAAUGUCAGGAGGCGUUAACACAAUCUUUCAUUCAAGAAGAGAGAGGAGAAAUUAAUACUUCAGGCACUAUAUUUUCCAGAAUACUCUGGACAUGUGAGAAAUUAUGGUUUGGGGACAAGUGCUGAAGAUAUAUUUUCACGCCAAGUUCUCCCUCCACAAGCAUACCUUGAUGAUAUUUAUCUCAUAGUCAAUACAUUGUCCACGAGAUUGGAGACACUAGAGGGUGAGAAAUUAAAGAGAGAAAAGAAAGAGAGGCAACAAACUGAAGAAGUGGCAGGGAGGCGAUCACUUGAUAAAAUUGUAGAGAGACAACAACAGGAAGGAGUUGUAGAGAGACGACAUCCUAGUGACAAAGAUUUUUGCAACCCUAGUACAAAGGUAAUUGUUUUUUAUUAAAUUCUAAUUAAUAAUUUUAGAUUAAUUAUAUUAAUUUUAAUAAUUCAUUAAUGGUUUAGGUUGUUUCUUCUAUUAAUAUAUAUCUAUCAUCUCCAAAUCGACUCUGAUUGUCCGUGGGAAAUUAUACAACAUCACUGUAGUGAUAUAGUGUACGGUAGAGCUGUCAAAAUGGGUUAGCCCAUAUGGGCCGGCCCGCCAGGCCCGAAAAAUCUUAGGGCUUGAGCCUUAAAAUUAUAGCCCAUAUUUUUCAGGGUCUUUUUAGCCCAGCCCUAAAAAGCCCGCUACCCAUUAGGGCUAGCCCAUAUGGGCCGUGGGUAGCCCAUUAGACCCACAUAAUUAUAAAUUUUAAAAAAAAUAUAUUAAUAUUUAUAUUAUCUUACUACAAAAUUGCAUAUUGAUUUUUCUCACUUCACCAAAUUUUAUCUCUAUUUUAUUCAAUCUUUCUCUUUUAAAUAUUAUACAUUAAUAUAAUCAACAUUUUUUCAUCAUAUUAUAUUAGUUUUUCUCUUAUAAUAAAUAUUCAAGUAUUAUUUUAUACAAUUUAGACAUAUAUUGUAUUUAGAAACACAUUAUAAGAGAUAAUAUAGUACUUAAAAUUGUAUUAUGUUUAAAAUAACAUAAUUUUAUUUUUAUUUUUAAUAAAUAUUAUGGAAUUUUAAUUUUAAUUUUUUUAAAUUAAAAAGCCCAUUUAGGGCCGGGUAGCCCGAAGCCCAUCUAGGGACGGGCUCGGGUAGUAAAUCUCGAGCCCAUAUUAUUCAGGGCCUUUUUGGCCCAGUCCUGAAAAGCCCAGGGCCCGCUAGGGCCGGCCCGUUUAGGGCCGGGUAGCCCAUAUUGACAGCUCUAGUGUACGGUAUAAAAUUACUACCUGAACAUGUUAAAGUUAAGAUUGAAGUUCCUAUUGUGCCAAAUGCUCCACUGCCUAUAUCUGUUGAAUAUAUUGAUAUUUUGAUGGUUGGUCAGGCAAUAAGUGCAAUUGUGCCAAGGACAUUCAAAUCAGUUGACUUUGUUGAUGAAUGUCUAAAGCAACAUCGGUGUAACCAUGCCACAACGUAGUUGAAAGGUGUUUGUCGAACCCUCAUAAAAAUGAAGCGCACCAACUAACAUAUUUUGGCUAUAUGUAUGACCUACCCUAGAUAGUUGAAUCAAAUCGAAAAUACAUUGGUCUUUCCAGGUCCGUCCUUUUUUAGCAUCUACCUUAUUUAGCGAGUUAUUAUAGCUCGAAUAGUCAGUAUAUGGGGCAGAGCAAAAAAUGCGACAAGACAUAUAUGUUAAGUCUAAAGGUUAGUUUACAGCUGCAAAAGGUUUUGUAUGUUCAUGACUAGGGAAAAUUUGACUAACCUUUUCUAUGUUCGUGUUCAAACUAGAGACAAGGCCUAGAAAAGCACGUGUUGUAUCAGAAAUGGUAAGAGGGAUCAACACGUGAGACUUCUAGAUUAGGGAUUUUCUUCCUCAAGCUGAGGUUCAGGAACAAACAGUUAAUUUCCAACAAGAAUUAGCGUCCUAAUAGAUACAACAAGAGAAAUUUGUGGUUUUAAAGUUGAUUUGGGCGCUAUUUGAGUUAAAAAGAGUGAAGAUUAUGAGGAAAUCUGAAGUUUUGGCAGAUCCAACGCUUUCAUGGUAGGGUUUUGAUUUCGUUUCCUGUGGUGGUCGGAGUUGAAUCUCAUACGACGAAGAAGACACCGAUACUCAGAUUUUAGAGGUUCGAUUUUUACUUUAUUAUUUUACAUUCAUUUCAAAAUCUCCAUAUCCUUCAAUUUUACCCUUUUCAGAUCUGUAACCAUUCAAUCGCAGCAAUCUAUAGCGAUUCGUUGACCGAACCUUUUCAGAUCCCCUUUUCAUAUCGUCAUUACUAUCCAUACCAUUGGUAAGUUUUUGUUACUAUGCUUUUAUUGAAUGUGUCUGAUUGUAUGGUUACCGUGAUGUGUUAGUUUUAUGUUUUAGGGUUCAAUGUUGAAAGUUCUAUAUUUACAGGUUUUAGACAACAAGUUCCAUAGCAGAUUGUUAGAGGUAAUGAACUGCAACUUUUGUGAAGUACAAAGAAAUCUUGAUUAUUGUGAUGGUUAACAUGUAUACUAAAACUUACAUAUCCAGUGUUGACAUAUUAUUGUUCUAUAUAUCAGGUCCUGAUUAAUCCAUAUGGGAAAGACAAGAAUAUGGGAGAGGAUUUCAUACUUGAAACUCUAACUUUUUGUUUCUGUAAAAAAAUUAAGUCUUUAAUCUAAAAAACACUUAAUGCUCUUUGUUGACAACUUUGGGAUUUCUUGAAACUAGAGGAGAAAGGCAUGGCAACAAGGGCUACUAUAUUCAUCCUACCUAGUUUUUUUCAUCAAUCAGUUGAUUUUUCAUUAUUACUUUUCUACACAUUUGCUAAAGUAACGCUAUUUUUACAAUUUGCUUUGAUGUAGUGAGAUGCGUAUUUGGAAAGUUGUUCGGUGUCGGGUUAUUGAUUAAAUUGACAUCCGAGAGAUACAUGUUGUGUUAGUGUAUUGUAAAGGGGAAGAUCUUUGUAUGUACAUUCAAUGCCAUGGAAGGGUACUGGAGGCAACUGCAAAGCAUUUUAUGCUUCAGCUGGGUAUGUUUCAUCAAAACUGGAAGGUAAAUAUUGAUGGUUCUUUUUCUUGAAGUGGAAAUACUAAUUUUUGUUUAAUUGGUUAAUGCUUAAGUUGUUAAUAGAAGUAUUUUAUGGAUUAAAUGUCCUUACUAUACUUUACUUGUUUGUAUAUAAAUCAGUUGCAAGUUCGGUUCCUAUUGCCGCUACAAUCAUCCAGACAUGAAUGGUAUAUUCCAAUUGAGGAGAUCCCAGUUAACUACGACGAUUUCAAAAGAGAAAACGAUUCUGAAUUCUACAACCAAGACGCAACUGUUUCUGAACUAAUUCUCUAGGCUGGAAUAACGGCAGACAUAGAGAUACCAGCUGAACUGAAAGGCAUAUACAAGGCAGCCUGGGAGAUCAAGCAAAAGAUAUUGGUUGACAUGGUUGUUGCUGAUUGUUAUUAUCAUCACUUUCAAUUUUGACCAACUGUUGUUGAUUGUUGUUAUUAUCACUUUCAAUUUUGUCUUUAAGGGUUUGAAGACAUGGAUGUACUACCUCCGAACCCGGGCUGUAAGUGAUGCCAUCAAAUUUAUCAUUGAUACCUCUGCCAUUAAAGAGCAAGCAAGGGCAGAGGAGGCUGAUCUUGAUGAAGAUGCCAAGAUGGCACAAAUGGUGAGCUCAUUGACGAACAGAGACGAGUGUUUGUCCUAUGGAAGUUAAAACUACACCUUAGAUUUGCAUCUCUAGGCAUUAAAAAAUCAAUUUACUACAGAAUGGAACCAUUAGUGAAGGAGGCAACAACUGUCUAAAAUUCAAAUGUGUU
Long non-coding RNA from Vicia villosa (hairy vetch), 3970 nucleotides. RefSeq lists it as uncharacterized. Lineage: Eukaryota; Viridiplantae; Streptophyta; Magnoliopsida; Fabales; Fabaceae. The transcript is spliced from 4 exons. The record is from RefSeq and is a predicted model, not a curated record.